Long non-coding RNA from Sapajus apella (tufted capuchin), 1061 nucleotides. RefSeq lists it as uncharacterized. The record is from RefSeq and is a predicted model, not a curated record. The transcript is spliced from 2 exons. Lineage: Eukaryota; Metazoa; Chordata; Mammalia; Primates; Cebidae.
AGCUUGAGCCCAGGAGUCUGACACCAACCUGGGCAACAUGGUUAUACCUGGAAGGAUUCACAGCAAUAUGUUACCUGUGGAAUGUCCAGGCUGGGGAUGGGCAGUGUGAGAAUACCUGUCAUUUUAUGAGCAUGCUUCAUAUAGUUUGGAUAUCAUACUUAUGUAUCAGGCGUAUUUUAAAAAUAAUCACAUAGGUGUUACAUAGGUUCUUUAAAUACAAUCUCAAACACAGGGGCUGGCUUCAGAGCAGGGGUUGAUUUAGAGGCUUGAACGGCAGUUGCUGGCCUCCAGGCAUCCCCGGGAUUCCCCAAGGUGGGCACACAGACCCUCCUGGGGUGGGGUGUGUAUACCAGAGCUGAGCAAACCCAGAGCUGAGCAUGCAGCCCCCUUCUGUCUCUGCAGUUCUGCCCUCCAACCUUGGGGAACAUAAAAAAGGCCUGUUUCCCUUACAGGACCCUGGGCACCUAUCCCAUUAUCCCCUGGCAACUGGAGUUGGAAGGCUUAUCUAGGAUACCUCAAUUUGACCCCCAGUCCAGAAAGAGGUGUGUGGUAUAGACCAGACUCUAAUGUGAAAACAGAUCACCUGGGGAUCUUGCAAAUGCAGCUUCUGAUUGAAUAGGUCUAGGGUAGGACCAGAGAUUCUGCACUUCUAGAAGCUUCCAAGUUACACCGAUGCUGCUAGUCAACAGAAUAUACUUUAGAUAGCAAGGGUCAAGAUCAAUGAUUCUCAAAAUGCAGCCUCAGACCAGCGGCGUCAGCAUCACCUGGGAACUUGUUAGAAAGGCAAAUUCUAGGCUCCACCCAAGACCUGGGUUUGGAGCCCAGCAAUCCGUGUUUUAACAAGCCCUCCAGGUGAUUCUAAUGCACACCUGUGAGAACCACUGGUGUAGCGGAAGGAGCACUCACCUAGGAGACAGGGAACCCACGUCAUAGCUCAAGCUUGGUGACACCUUACACAAUUGUUUCCCCUCUCUGAUCUCAGUUUCCUCAUCUGUAAAAUGGGGACUGUUGAGUUCUGUCUUGCAAAUUUAGUGCAUAUUUGAAAAAAAAAAAAAAAAAAA